UACGGAGGGUGCAAGCGUUGUCCGGAUUAUUGGGUUUAAAGGGUGCGUAGGCGGCUUUAUAAGUCCGUGGUGAAAGCCAACAGCUCAACUGUUGAACUGCCAUGGAUACUGUAAGGCUUGAGUACAGACGAGGUAGGCGGAAUGGAUGGUGUAGCGGUGAAAUGCAUAGAUACCAUCCAGAACCCCGAUUGCGUAGGCAGCUUACUAGGCUGUAACUGACGCUGAGGCACGAAAGCGUGGGGAGCGAACAGG
RNAcentral lists this ribosomal RNA (252 nucleotides) under uncultured Adhaeribacter sp. RNAcentral's name for it is "partial 16S ribosomal RNA". It matches the Rfam family "Bacterial small subunit ribosomal RNA", at positions 524 to 776 of the family's 1533-position model. Lineage: Bacteria; Pseudomonadati; Bacteroidota; Cytophagia; Cytophagales; Hymenobacteraceae. The record is from RNAcentral.